Long non-coding RNA from Bolinopsis microptera, 1574 nucleotides. RefSeq lists it as uncharacterized. NCBI's taxonomy places the organism in Eukaryota, Metazoa, Ctenophora, Tentaculata, Lobata, Bolinopsidae. The transcript has 4 exons. The record is from RefSeq and is a predicted model, not a curated record.
AGGAUUGUGCAGGAAUGUAGUGCUAUGGUACGGUUACGAGACAGCUACAUUAUAAAACAUGAGGAUAGUUGAAAUAGUACCCAUAUUUGUGAUACUCUGGGAAGUUGGAAUUCCUCGUGCACAGCCAGAUGAUACAUCAGACAAUGAGAACUUUGCCUGCUACAGAUGUGUAACAAAAGGAAGACUCUGAUGUUUGUGAAGAGAUAGACGAUAAAUGUGCUUACAAGAAGUGUGCUAAGAUAAAGUAUGAGGAGAACGGUGAAAUUAAGAUAAUAAGAGAGUGUACUCCCCACAAGAGCUCAGUAGCAGCGGAGAUAUGCAGUCAGUCAGAACCGUUAAAGAACAAGCCUUGCGACGCAUGGUUGUGUGAUAAACCACUGUGUAACGGAGGAGACCGUGUGAUAGCGCCGCCAGUCGGCGCUAACGGAGCCGCCCAGACCCUGCUCUCGACCAUUAUCUUCUUAACUUACUUCCUAGUGUACGGCUAGGGGGGCUUGUCAGUGGCUGGUUAAUGGCCGUUGCUAGGCUGAUCUUGUGGUGUAUAUAAUGUGGUUGAAUUGGUUGUGCUCUAGUUCAAAUUAUGGAGGUUGAGUUAGGAAGUGAAGAUAGAAGCUUAUGACUUGAGGUCAAUUAGUUCAUAACAACAUAUACUCGAUUUAUUGGAGCGGGCAUGGGAACUUCAGCUGAGGUCAGUGAAGGACGGAAAUGAAAGAGAAACUCUUCAAAUGAAAGCGAAACUCUUCAAAUGAAAUCGAAACUCUUCAAAAUGAUAAAACUAGAUUCAAAAUGAAAUUAAAAAUCAUAAAACUUGGGUGUACACCAGUGUCAGAAUAUUUUACAAUGUGAGUUUAAUCAAUUAAUUAAUCAAACGGAUCACUGACGUUGGUUAAAAGCUAACUAACUGUUUAUAACGAAUCAUCUGGAGGUUAAACCGGGAAACUACUGAUCAUUGGUAGGAUUAUGUGCUGGAUUACCGGCGGGGAGGCGAUGUCAAUUAGUACGGGAAGGAAAAUGGUAUUCUUCCCCGGCUCCAACAGUUCUAGUUCAUUUUGAGGGAUAAAUUUACAGUUAUUUCAUGACAAGUGUUUAUUAGUAAUUUAUCUUAUUUUAGUUACUCGGGCGUUCCUAAGGCGUUCCUAAGGCGUUGCUAAGGCGUUAUUAAGACGUUGUUAAGGCGUUGCUAAGGCGUUGCUAAGGCGUUGUUAAGGCGUUGUUAAGGAGUUUCUAGUGUGUUUCACAAAAGAUCUCCUGGUUUUGCGUUGUUGAAUAUUUUAAAUUUACGAGGCAGAUAUAUAUCUGUAGUAUAUCAUGUAAAAAUAUUUAAGAGUGAAUAUCCCAGAAUUUUUCACAAAAAAACAAAUGAACGCUAAUUUCAUUUGGUAUCUUUGUACCUUUGUAUGCAAAGAUAAAAUUACUUUAAGUUUCUAAGAGACCAAUAAAGAUGCGAAACUGGAAAUCCUUACAAUUCCAGCCCUCCUUACAGAGGUUUUGAGGGUAAAAUGUUGUGUCGUUUUUAUCUUAAAGUUAACGGCUUUACUUUUUCCUAUUGAAAUUAAUUUAUUUUUCUAAGAACG